RNAcentral lists this ribosomal RNA (253 nucleotides) under uncultured bacterium. RNAcentral describes it as "partial 16S ribosomal RNA". It matches the Rfam family "Bacterial small subunit ribosomal RNA", at positions 524 to 776 of the family's 1533-position model. The record is from RNAcentral.
GACAGAGGGUGCAAACGUUGUUCGGAAUUACUGGGCGUAAAGCGUGUGUAGGCGGUCUCUUAAGUCGGAUGUGAAAGCCCCGGGCUCAACCCGGGAAGUGCACUCGAAACUGGGAGGCUAGAGUACUGGAGAGGUUGGUGGAAUUCUCGGUGUAGAGGUGAAAUUCGUAGAUAUCGAGAGGAACACCGGUGGCGAAGGCGGCUAACUGGACAGAUACUGACGCUGAGACACGAAAGCGUGGGGAGCAAACAGG